CGUAGGCGGCUUAGUAAGUCGGAUGUGAAAGCCCCGGGCUUAACCUGGGAAUUGCAUUCGAUACUGCUGGGCUAGAGUAUGGAAGAGGGAAGUGGAAUUCCGGGUGUAGCGGUGAAAUGCGUAGAUAUCCGGAGGAACACCAGUGGCGAAGGCGACUUCCUGGGCCAAUACUGACGCUGAGGUGCGAAAGCGUGGGGAGCAAACA
RNAcentral lists this ribosomal RNA (205 nucleotides) under uncultured bacterium. RNAcentral's name for it is "partial 16S ribosomal RNA". It matches the Rfam family "Bacterial small subunit ribosomal RNA", at positions 570 to 774 of the family's 1533-position model. The record is from RNAcentral.